UAAAUAGCUGAUCUCCGAGCCGAGGCUACCUAAAGGGACCAUUCCCCAAGAGGCCCCGGCCAAUGGGUGCUGCCGGAAACGGCACCGCCUCCCUUUAGGAAAGGAGAACCUCCGCCGCUUGA
Molecule: non-coding RNA, 122 nt
Filed under: Geobacteraceae bacterium
Lineage: Bacteria; Pseudomonadati; Thermodesulfobacteriota; Desulfuromonadia; Geobacterales; Geobacteraceae
Description: MoCo sequence
Rfam family: Molybdenum/Tungsten riboswitch aptamer (Moco RNA motif)
Source: RNAcentral